Molecule: ribosomal RNA, 419 nt
Filed under: uncultured bacterium
Lineage: Bacteria
Description: bacterial SSU rRNA
Rfam family: Bacterial small subunit ribosomal RNA
Source: RNAcentral
AACGAACGCUGGCGGCAGGCUUAACACAUGCAAGUCGAACGGGCACCUUCGGGUGUCAGUGGCAGACGGGUGAGUAACGCGUGGGAACGUACCCUUCGGUUCGGAAUAACCCAGGGAAACUUGGGCUAACACCGGAUACGUCCGCAAGGAGAAAGAUUUAUCGCCGAAGGAUCGGCCCGCGUCGGAUUAGCUAGUUGGUGGGGUAAUGGCCCACCAAGGCGACGAUCCGUAGCUGGUCUGAGAGGAUGANCAGCCACACUGGGACUGAGACACGGCCCAGACUCCUACGGGAGGCAGCAGUGGGGAAUAUUGGACAAUGGGCGAAAGCCUGAUCCAGCCAUGCCGCGUGAGUGAAGAAGGCCUUAGGGUUGUAAAGCUCUUUCAGCGGGGAAGAUAAUGACGGUACCCGCAGAAGAAGU